UAGAAUGACGUAAACUAACUACAUGUAGUACGAACAAAGACUAACAGGAGUUACUCCCCUUAGUAUCGUAUCGCACAAAAGGACAAAGUACAGUCAACUUUGUAAAGCGAAGUAAACAACUAUGACACACUUAAAAGUUAAAGACGUUUAAAUAUAAACUGAAUAAUAUUUAGGGAAAUUUCGUAAUGUUAUUAGGGUUUUUUUCAUAGCAGUGUAUUUUUACAUUACAUAAUAAUUGACGACAUCGGUUAGAUUGACAGAAAAGUACUAUAAUCUACGAGAUAAAUAUAUAGGAAAAGGGAAAAAUAGAAGAGCAAGGACAAAGAGAAUAGUUACUAUAUACAAGGAACAAGAAUGCACGGUUGGGAGAGACUAUCAAAUCUGUGUGGUAUUGGUUGCAAGGUGUUGUGGACGUCAUGGGGUAACGAAGACAAGACUUAUGAUUCUGUGAAUAAAGAUGACACUGACACAGCUGACCUACACGAACCCGUGACGUCAGAACCAAUGAAACCAAUCUGGUCAGACAUAAAUAUAACAGCGCCUAUUGUCAGAAAUAAGUCCGGAAGUGUUGGCAACAUUAAGAUUGGUUCUAGCGCGGGAUACGAAAAGCUUUCUACAGACGGACUUAAACAGAGUGCCAGUCUUGCGAAACUAAAUGAAAAACGAAACAGUAAAUCGGACGUGACAGUCGGUGCCAUGGCUCCAGCAUUCAGUAAAACUUUACUUAAAGAAGAUAAAAGUUUAAGCAGCAGUAGAGCAAGCCUGGCGGAAGAAACUUUGGAAGUUCACGAGUUAGUGACUACUGUCUGAACUAACUAAUCACAUAAUGGAUAAUAAUUCCUGUGAUAUAAUGGAGCUUUUAUCAAAUUUAUAGACAGGGAUUUUUUUCUGGAAUUCCUUUAUAUAGUUCUACAUUGACAGUGGUAUAACAUUACAAAGUGCUAAGUAUUAAAAGUUAUGGUGCUUGUAACUAAUGUUAAGGGAAAAAGUGACUACAAUGUAGAAUUGAGAAAUUGCUCUUCCCUCGUAAACGCGCCGAACCUUAAUAAAUUAUGCAUGUUUAUUACAUUAGCGCAUUUAUGAAUGAGGAACAUCAUUUAUGUCUUUAUAUAGUUUGACAAUAUCGACAUUUUUAUAAGAUAUUAUGUGAACUUAGAACUUGUACAUUUUGAUUGAAGGAAACUCUGAAAGAUAAGACAAAUUGUCUAAAAUAAUGUCAUACCAACUGAUGGUUAAAAAAAUCAAGUUCCUAAUGCACCUGGCAUUUUUAAAGUAGAUGUAAUAACGAGAAUUCUGGGAGACAUUGCAAUAUUUCCAAGUAUGUCACUGAUAUACUACACUUGUUAAGAAUUCUAUGCCAUGCUCAUUAGUAAUGCAUUUCAUUUUAUUGUUUAUAGUCAAAGGAUACUAAGAUUAAGUUUUAUAAUCAUUUGUUAUUCGACUGGAUGGAUGGUUCCAAAGCAAGAGUUUGUGACUAGGCUAACAGUUUGGUUAUCAUACGCGAUAACUCCCUUAAAUACCUAAAUUUAUGUUUAUAAAGUAACGCAGGAAGCAAUAGAUUUUUUUCUCGGUAUUCACACAUAUGUACACUUGUACUAAUGUUAUGUACAAAACAAUUAAACAUAAUGUAGGAAUAAGCAUGCAUUGAAAUGUAGUUCGUACGCUCUUAUCUCUUGAAAUAGCGUCACGUUGGUCACUUGAAAUAGCGUCACGUAGGUUAGAAAAAAAACAGACAGGUUCAUGCUGAUUGAAAAGAACAACGCGUUGAAAUGAACAAAGUUCGUGUGCUCAUAGUGAAUUGAACAAAUUCGUCUUGUGACAACGAAAUGAACAAAUUGAACACAUUUUUUUCUUGAACGUCUUCACAUAUUGAACUAAACAAAUUCUUCUUCUUUGUUGAAAUGACUGAUGGAGGCGUGGAGGCGAACAUGUACAUGUGUUGUUUACAAGUUUGCUUUGAAAAAACAGGAUUGGUCUGCUUGUGUAACUUUUAUUUUUGUAUGAAAUGAAAUAUAUUGUUUCAUUUUACUUUGCCAAAAUGAUAUAAAAUUCAUGUGCAAUAAAAUGUUUAAAUUAGAUAGUGUACUGUAAAUAAUGUAUUAUAUUAUAUUGUACUAACUUUAGCUAACAGCCAGUAUUUGAUAUUAGUGCAAAUGUAAACAAGAAGAUACUUGAUUAGCUAAACAUUAUUUUAAUCGUUCCAAAUUGUUUUAAUGUUGUUUUUUUUUAUAUUUAUUUUACUGACUUCAGUUGUCAUUCUUAGUGAUCAACAUCAUCUAGAGUCAAAACUCAUAUUUCAUUUAUGAUAUAUACACACCUGUUAUAUUACAUUAUUUUAAUCAGCAUUCUUAUACUUUCUUGAUUUCGUUUCUGGAUAAAUCUUGUCGUCUCAUUUUAUAUAAUGGUUUUAUAAUUAAGUUGUUGAUGAUAAAAAAUGAACAUAUUCUUUGCAACAAAAAAGAAUCAAGCACAACCUCGAGGAGAAUAGCAGACGUGUCACGUUCGGAUUUUAGCCUCCAGUCUCUAACUACAAGAUGAUGUCUGAUUGUUAGAGAUGUUGCUGAAGAUAUGUUUUAUUGAUUUCACCAUACGGUCAUUUUUGUAAUUAUAUUAUAGAACUUAUCUGUAAAUGACGUGGGCUUAAUGUUCUGUAAAUAUAGACGAUCCUCUAUUCUCAUUUUUUUCUUGCUUUGUCAGUCAAGAAUUCAGGAACUUUGUUUGUUUCUGAAGGGUAAAUCAUUGAUGUUUGAAAUUGUCAGACGUAUAUUAGUAUUAUAUAAUAUUAAGUUAUCAUUACUGGUUGUAAGGUACUCAAUGAGUCAUUAUAAUUUUGAUACAGUUAUAUUAAUUUUUAUAUAAUUUGGUAUAUUGAUAUCUUCCUAACAUAAGAUAAAACGCUGUGUUCAUAGAUAACCUAUUUACCUUUCAUCUGAUGCGAUUCAUUUGUACGUGAAAACGGACACGAUUUUCAAACGAAAAAGAAAAUUUGGACCUACUCAGUACAAUAUUUUUAUGAAAUGAUAUAGGAAAAUUAGCCCAUAAUUGUUUGAGUACUUAAAUAUGGUACGUUAAGUUCACAGAAAUAAAUAUUUAAUCCACGUUAUGUAAAUCAUGUAAAAUAUUGUUGAAAUGGUGAGCAGAUGUUAUGGUAAUCGAUCGGGAAUAAAAUUGCUCAGUAAAGUAUUAUUAUAUCAUAUAUCAGAUGAUUCAAUAGGCAUUAUUUAUCACUUUUAACAUGUUACUCAUUCACUGGAUACAUGAAUCAUUGUUCUGUAGGAUUAUUAUAGCAGACGACACCCGAGUGUCUACCAUAAAUACUGUUUACUGUAUUUUCUUCUUGAAUAAUUCAGGAUAUUAUCAAGCUCUUGUCAUAUAUGGUCUCUGUAAGGAAUUACUUGUCGAAUGAGGUCAAGAUGAGGUGUCAUCCACUUUUGACACAGUCUUAAACAUUUUUUUGAUAAAACUCUUUCUUCCACUUUUAUUACGAAAUUAAACUUUUGUCAUUAAUAAUACUAAUCUCUUGUCAAUAACAUUAUUAGAAAAUGUUUGUUCUUCAAAUAGAGUCAAAAGCAAGUAAACGAGUAUAUUUACAUACCGAGCCCGUUUUCUUUUAACCUUCUUGUCCUUACCGAUAUUAUAUACCCCUCUAAUAUUUAUUUUAGAGUUAUUGAAGAUACAAAUCGUUUACCUCCUUAAAUGUAAAAACUGAUCUUGCAUUAUAUCGAUACGUAAUCAUUACUUUUUUGUUUUCACUUUGUCACGAUUGAAGGUGUUCACAUUUUGUAUUUCAAACUGACACUCAAAAUCAUAAGAUAAGCAGUUUUUCUCUCUCUUUU
Long non-coding RNA from Ruditapes philippinarum (Manila clam), 3836 nucleotides. RefSeq lists it as uncharacterized. The transcript has 2 exons. NCBI's taxonomy places the organism in Eukaryota, Metazoa, Mollusca, Bivalvia, Venerida, Veneridae. The record is from RefSeq and is a predicted model, not a curated record.